CCUGCUUAUAACAAAAUUCAAACAGAGCUUACAUCCAAGGAUACAUACGUCUGAAACCUACAGGCCCAUGUACUCCGAUCCAUGCUCACAAAAACCAGCAUUCAACCCUCUCAUUCAACCUUUUAAGAGCAGGCUGACUUCUGGAUGAAACAAUCUCUAAUCUUAAAUGUGAUCUUGACACCCUCCAUUCUUGUUUGCUUCCCAUCCCAGACUCUGAUAAACAUGCUUUUAUUCUCUAUGCCCAUCCAUUUAAUUGUAUUGAUUUCAAGUUUAAUUGCUCUCAAAAAGUAUUU
This 293-nucleotide long non-coding RNA is filed under the name Homo sapiens (human). RNAcentral describes it as "non-protein coding lnc-HSFY1-1:2". The record is from RNAcentral. Lineage: Eukaryota; Metazoa; Chordata; Mammalia; Primates; Hominidae.